UCCACCUUUUCUUCUUCUUCCUCAUUUUUCUUGUUUCCUUUGUGUGGUCUGUGAGAUGCGUUUUUGCUUCUCAAGUACCAAACAAAGAGCCAUGCCUGCUUAGCGAAAAAAUUGAUGUGAAUACAUACAGGCGGGCGCUUGCGCUAAAUGCCAACUUACUUCCAACACGUCAUAAUCUGCAUAAACAGAGUUUCAAAACUUUAAAAUCAUAAGGUUGUUAAUAACAAAAUUUUGAAACCGAGACAAACAUACUCCAUAAAAAUUAUCAUUUGUGUGGAAGAGGAAAAAGUUAUAAAACAGAAAUUGAGAAGGCAAGGACACAUACAGUUCUGGUAGAUCAUUAAUUCGAUGGAAUAAAAUGGAGUAAGGGAAUCAUCAUCACAGUUUGGCUUCUCAGAAUGAUCGUCUUCUUCAUUUUUCUCAAGGGCAGAGCCUUUAUUCAUCUUGCCUGUAAAAA
RNAcentral lists this long non-coding RNA (457 nucleotides) under Coffea arabica (coffee). RNAcentral describes it as "long non-coding RNA (CARA_LNC007692)". Lineage: Eukaryota; Viridiplantae; Streptophyta; Magnoliopsida; Gentianales; Rubiaceae. The record is from RNAcentral.